UGCCUCAGCACCUGCAUCUCUUCAGGUUGUGAUCUCAUCAGAUCUCAUAAGGUAAGCAGAUUCUGGCCUGCAUAAUAAUUGGUUGGGACCUUUCCAAAGAAAAUCCCAGGUGCUAAGGAAA
RNAcentral lists this ribosomal RNA (121 nucleotides) under Parus major (Great Tit). The record is from RNAcentral. Lineage: Eukaryota; Metazoa; Chordata; Aves; Passeriformes; Paridae.